Molecule: non-coding RNA, 585 nt
Organism: Vigna umbellata (rice bean)
Lineage: Eukaryota; Viridiplantae; Streptophyta; Magnoliopsida; Fabales; Fabaceae
Source: RefSeq, a predicted model, not a curated record
UCUUUCCUCUUUCAAUCAGGUUUGGCAAUAGAGAAGAAAGGAUCCAUGUAUAUUAUGCACAUGCCAAGAUAACCCAACCUUCGUCCGCAGAUGUUUAUUGGUGCUUGAUAAGUAUGUUUUGCUUGACUUUAGGUUCCCAAUUCCAAAUAUCGUGCAUGUCUUUAUUUGUGACUGAGUUAGUAAACAGGGGUUAUGAUUUCUUUCAUUUUUUUUAUAAAAAUAGAAUAAAAAUAACUUUUGCUAUGAGUUACAAUUGGAAUGGUUUUGUUUUCAGUGAAUUUGGAGGCACAUAGUACUCUUGUUCAUUAUCGUGAAAACACGAGAGAUACAAUUGCAAAAGUUCUCCUGUUACACCUGUAAAUUCAAAUUCAAGUUCUGUCUCUGACCCUGCGACAUCUUGGGUUCUAGCAGAAGACUUAGAUUCUGGGGCGAAAAGUGCUUUCAGUGCUGAGCUUAAUGACAAUUUAACAGUAAAGUUAUGAAGAGAAGCUUCUGAGAUUCAACACUUGAUGGAUGACCUAGUUGUUUCAAAUGCAACACUUCGACUACUCUAAGGAGGUAAUAUUUGUGUUUUAACAGAACCGA